GGAGUCUGGACCGUGUCUCAGUUCCAAUGUGGCCGUUCAUCCUCUCAGACCGGCUACUGAUCGUCGCCUUGGUAGGCCGUUACCCCACCAACUAGCUAAUCAGACGCAGACCCAUCGCAAAGCGAUAGCUUACAAGUAGAGGCCAUCUUUAAUCAAGCUCCCAUGCGGAAACUUGACAACAUUCGGUAUUAGCAGUCCUUUCGGACUGUUGUCCCCAUCUUUGCGGCAGGUUGUCUACGCGUUACUCACCCGUUUGCCACUCGACUCAUCUAAGCAAGCUUAAAAUCGUCUCGUUCGACUUGCAUGUGUUAAGCACGCCGCCAGCGUUCGUCCUGUAGCCAUGAUCAAACUACU
RNAcentral lists this ribosomal RNA (354 nucleotides) under uncultured Veillonellaceae bacterium. Its description in RNAcentral is "partial 16S ribosomal RNA". The record is from RNAcentral. Lineage: Bacteria; Bacillati; Bacillota; Negativicutes; Veillonellales; Veillonellaceae.